Oncorhynchus tshawytscha (Chinook salmon) is the source of this 388-nucleotide long non-coding RNA. Lineage: Eukaryota; Metazoa; Chordata; Actinopteri; Salmoniformes; Salmonidae. The record is from Ensembl.
UAGGUUAACGCCUUCCUCUGAGGCAACUGCACGGGUGUUACCGUCCAGCACCACGAGGAUUCCGUUUACUUCAGAUCUUGGGCGCGCGCUCUCACGGUAAACGAAAAAGCCAAUAGGAGCUCAGAGAGAGACCAGAGAGAUAUCCCCCCUUCACUGGUACAGCUGACUGAACUACUGGGGGACAAAGUGAACACACUCUGAAAGACUGUCUCACUAGACGAACAGCAUUUUCUUUAAUUAUAGGUUUGGGAAAUGGUUCAGGUCACUCGAGGUCUGCACCACCCAAUGAUGAUCCGUGUUCACCAAGCCUAUCCUCCCUCUACUCGUUGUGUGGAUCGUGGAUGUGCUGCUGGGCGGGGCUUCAGAGCUGCCAACAGAACACAACACA